CGGGGAGAUGGCUUAGUGGGUAAAGUACCUGGUCACCUGAAUUUGAACACCUGGCCGCCACAUAAAAGCUGGGCAUAGCUGCUAAGAGGGACACUCACAGCACUGAUCUGAUCCCGAGAGAAUGUUGGGCUUUCAAGAUAUUCCAUUUAGAAGUUUGUCUUCUUCCUGGCGCAUAAUGGCCUCCUGGGCAAAGAACUGCCCUUACCUCGACUGCUGACAGUAGAGUGCUACCCUUUCUGGAUGAGCAGGACACAAGGAAAAGUGACUACUGAACUCUGUCAAGAGAGGUGGUUUGGAUGCUGAGAUCUUGGACAAAGCAGAUCAGCGUGGGACAUAGCACAGUUUUCCAGUGGUUGUGAGUUAACCCC
Molecule: long non-coding RNA, 368 nt
Organism: Peromyscus eremicus (cactus mouse)
Lineage: Eukaryota; Metazoa; Chordata; Mammalia; Rodentia; Cricetidae
Exons: 3
Source: RefSeq, a predicted model, not a curated record